ACUCAAAGGAAUUGACGGGGGCCCGCACAAGCGGCGGAGCGUGCGGUUUAAUUCGACGCGACGCGCAGAACCUUACCAGGGCUUGACAUGCGCCUGCAGAGCCGGGAAACCGGUUGGCCUUCGAGGGUGGCGCACAGGUGCUGCAUGGCUGUCGUCAGCUCGUGUCGUGAGAUGUUGGGUUAAGUCCCGCAACGAGCGCAACCCCCGUGGUCAGUUGCCGAUGUUUCUGACCAGACUGCCGGCGGCAAACCGGAGGAAGGUGGGGAUGACGUCAAGUCAGCAUGGCCCUUACGUCCUGGGCUACACGCACGCUACAAUGGUCGGGACAACGGGUCGCCAAGCCGCGAGGCGGAGCCAAUCCCCCAAACCCGGCCUCAGUUGGAAUCGGGGGCUGCAACCCGCCCCCGUGAACGUGGAGUCGCUAGUAACCGCGGGUCAGCACUACCGCGGUGAAUACGUUCCCGGGCCUUGUACACACCGCCCGU
RNAcentral lists this ribosomal RNA (485 nucleotides) under uncultured bacterium. RNAcentral describes it as "partial 16S ribosomal RNA". It matches the Rfam family "Bacterial small subunit ribosomal RNA", at positions 899 to 1397 of the family's 1533-position model. The record is from RNAcentral.